CUCGGAAGGGGCCACAAUGACCCUGCAAUGCACAAAGUCAGCGGGACCCUGGAAGGUGGGUGGGCUUCGAGCAUGCUGGCUUCCAAGGGCAGCAGUACAUUCUGGAACGGGGUGAAUAUCCAAGCUGGGAUGCCUGGGGCGGCAACACGGCCUACCCCGCCGAGAGGCUCACCUCCUUCCGGCCUGUGGCCUGUGCUAACCACCGUGACUCGAGGCUGACAAUCUUCGAGCAAGAGAACUUCCUGGGCAAGAAAGGAGAGCUGAGCGAUGACUAUCCUUCCCUCCAGGCCAUGGGAUGGGAAGGCAACGAAGUAGGGUCCUUCCACGUCCACUCUGGGGCUUGGGUUUGCUCCCAGUUUCCGGGCUACCGAGGAUUUCAGUAUGUGCUGGAAUGCGAUCACCAUUCCGGUGACUACAAGCAUUUCCGGGAGUGGGGCUCUCAUGCCCCGACCUUCCAGGUGCAGAGCAUCCGCAGGAUCCAGCAGUGAACAGGGGCGCGGCACGGAGGAGCACAUGCGUGCUUGUCUGCAAUGGAGGCGCUCUGGAGGCUGUGGUGUGAACCCAGCACCCGUGUGAGCUGGUCCAUGCACAGUCAGCACAAAAAACUC
RNAcentral lists this small RNA (608 nucleotides) under Pongo abelii (Sumatran orangutan). RNAcentral describes it as "processed transcript". The record is from RNAcentral. Lineage: Eukaryota; Metazoa; Chordata; Mammalia; Primates; Hominidae.